RNAcentral lists this ribosomal RNA (459 nucleotides) under uncultured bacterium. Its description in RNAcentral is "partial 16S ribosomal RNA". It matches the Rfam family "Bacterial small subunit ribosomal RNA", at positions 338 to 795 of the family's 1533-position model. The record is from RNAcentral.
CCUACGGGGGGCUGCAGUGAGGAAUAUUGGUCAAUGGCCGAGAGGCUGAACCAGCCAAGUCGCGUGAGGGAAGACGGCCCUACGGGUUGUAAACCUCUUUUGUCGGGGAGCAAAGCGAACCACGUGUGGUUCAUUGAGCGUACCCGAAGAAAAAGCACCGGCUAACUCCGUGCCAGCAGCCGCGGUAAUACGGAGGAUGCGAGUGUUAUCCGGAUUUAUUGGGGUUAAAGGGUGCGCGGGCGGGCUGUUCAGUCAGCGGUCAAAGCCCGGGGCUCAACCCCGGCCCGCCGUUGAAACUGGCAGUCUCGAGUUGGAGAGAAGUAUGCGGAAUGCGCGGUGUAGCGGUGAAAUGCAUAGAUAUCGCGCAGAACUCCGAUUGCGAAGGCAGCAUGCCGGCUCCACACUGACGCUGAGGCACGAAAGCGUGGGUAUCGAACAGGAUUAGAUACCCCAGUAGUC